UCGUUUAGAAGAUAACGAUAGGAUAUGAUUAUUGUGUGGAGCAAAGAUAACGAUAGGAUAUGAUUACCCUGCCUUGCAUUCUUCUGAGGUUUUGUGAGGAACUUUUGUAGUUUUUUUUUCCUUAUCAUUUUGUAACGAUCCAGGGAACCGGUCAAGAGAGGAUGUUUUGUUAAUUAAUGGGUCACGCGACUCGCGGGCGAGAGACGUGAACGAAGAAACGAUACAGUUGCCUCC
This 234-nucleotide long non-coding RNA is filed under the name Elaeis guineensis (African oil palm). Its description in RNAcentral is "long non-coding RNA (EGUI_LNC019352)". The record is from RNAcentral. Lineage: Eukaryota; Viridiplantae; Streptophyta; Magnoliopsida; Arecales; Arecaceae.